GAGCGUCAUUUCAACCAAUCCAGCCUCGUGCUUGGGCCUUGGGCCUUUCGCCUCUGGGCGGGCCUCAAAAUCAGUGGCGGCGCGUCUGGCUCUGAGCGUAGUAAUACUCCUCGCUAUAGACGUCGGGCGGUGUCCUGCCAGCAACCCUAUAUCUUUUAAAGGUUGACCUCGGAUCAGGUAGGGAUACCCGCUGAACUUAA
RNAcentral lists this unclassified non-coding RNA (200 nucleotides) under soil metagenome. RNAcentral describes it as "partial contains internal transcribed spacer 2 and large subunit ribosomal RNA". The record is from RNAcentral.